This is an unclassified non-coding RNA of Cavia porcellus (domestic guinea pig), 294 nucleotides long. Its record names the gene 7SK. It matches the Rfam family "7SK RNA". From Rfam's summary of the family: 7SK was discovered as an abundant small nuclear RNA in the mid-70s but a possible function has only recently been suggested. Two independent studies have found that 7SK RNA binds the CDK9/cyclin T complex (known as elongation factor P-TEFb). P-TEFb activates transcription by phosphorylating the C-terminal domain of RNA polymerase II. Lineage: Eukaryota; Metazoa; Chordata; Mammalia; Rodentia; Caviidae. The record is from Ensembl.
GGAUAUGAUGGCAAUUUAGUUGUGACAUGUCUCCCCACAGAACACCAGCACUGAUUUUAUGACCUGCUGCUAGCUAGGCCGGUGUCCCCGUUCUCCCUCACAGCUCCAUGUGCAUUCUUCUGGAAGCUGUGCAUUUAUUUGGUCAAAGCAGACAACUUUCCAAGAGAAGAGUACCAUUCUUCAGUCAAGAGAACAUGAGUAGCUGUGCUCCCCUACUAGAACCUCCAAACGAGGUUUCAAGGUCAAUGGCUAAUGCCAAAGUCAUUACCAAGGCCCUUAAUUUCAUCUCCAAAU